This 488-nucleotide ribosomal RNA is filed under the name uncultured bacterium. Its description in RNAcentral is "bacterial SSU rRNA". It matches the Rfam family "Bacterial small subunit ribosomal RNA", at positions 30 to 508 of the family's 1533-position model. The record is from RNAcentral.
AUUGAACGCUGGCGGCAUGCUUUACACAUGCAAGUCGAACGGUAACAGGGAGCUUGCUCCGCUGACGAGUGGCGAACGGGUGAGUAAUGCAUCGGAACGUGCCGUGUAGUGGGGGGAUAACGUAGCGAAAGUUACGCUAAUACCGCAUACGCCCCGAGGGGGAAAGUGGGGGACCGCAAGGCCUCACGCUAUACGAGCGGCCGAUGUCGGAUUAGCUAGUUGGUAGGGUAAAGGCCUACCAAAGCGACGAUCCGUAGCGGGUCUGAGAGGAUGAUCCGCCACACUGGGACUGAGACACGGCCCAGACUCCUACGGGAGGCAGCAGUGGGGAAUUUUGGACAAUGGGCGCAAGCCUGAUCCAGCCAUGCCGCGUGAGUGAAGAAGGCCUGGUUGUAAGACGUCUUCUAGACGGAAGAAAUACGGUAGCGUUUAAGUACUAUGCACUGGAUGACGGUACCGUAAGAAGAAGACACCGGCUAACUACGUAG